Molecule: non-coding RNA, 3091 nt
Organism: Callorhinus ursinus (northern fur seal)
Lineage: Eukaryota; Metazoa; Chordata; Mammalia; Carnivora; Otariidae
Source: RefSeq, a predicted model, not a curated record
GGCGAGGAAGCCGGGAAUAGUAAGAGAAACACGUUUCUCGCUAGCCUCGGUUCUCAUGCGCCAUGGCGACCCCCGCCCAGCAGCCUCCUCAGUCUAGCGGCGGAAAGCGCAAAGCCAAAGCUCCGUAUGUGCAAGCCAAGCGGGCUCGGCGCUGCGACGGUGACGGGCCCCGGCAGUUGGAACCCGGCCUACAGGGCAUUCUCAUUACCUGCAACAUGAACGAACGCAAGUGCGUGGAGGAGGCCUACAGCCUGCUCAACGAAUACGGCGACGACAUGUAUGGGCCAGAAAAGUUGACGGACAAAGAGCAGCAGCCCUCAGGAAGUGAGGGAGAAGAUGAUGACAUGGAGGCUGCCUUGAAGAAAGAAGUUGGUGACAUUAAAGCAUCAACAGAGAUGAAGCUAAGAAGAUUCCAGUCAGUGGAGAGUGGAGGCAACAAUGUAGUAUUCAUCAGGACGCUUGGAAUAGAACCUGAGAAAUUGGUACAUCAUAUUCUCCAGGAUAUGUACAAAACCAAGAAGAAGAAGACUCGGGUUAUUCUACGUAUGUUACCCAUUUCAGGCACGUGCAAGGCUUUCUUAGAAGAUAUGAAAAAAUAUGCAGAAACAUUUUUGGAACCCUGGUUUAAAGCUCCAAACAAAGGGACAUUUUAGAUUGUAUAUAAAUCUCGAAAUAACAGUCACAUGAAUAGAGAAGUUAUCAAAGAAUUGGCAGGAAUAGUAGGCAGCCUCAAUUCGGAAAAUAAAGUGGAUCUUACCAAUCCACAGUACACGGUGGUAGUAGAAAUAAUUAAAGCUGUCUGUUGCCUGAGUGUUGUCAAAGAUUAUAUGUUGUUCAGAAAGUAUAAUCUCCAGGAGGUGGUAAAGAGUGGUAAGGACCCAUCACAACUUAACCCAAAGCAGCCAGUGCAAGGAGGAAAUGGGAAAGAAGCUAAAUUGGAAUCUGGUGACAAAUCAAAUCAACAUCACCCAGCAGAAGGAACAAACAACCAGCAGCUGGUACCAGAAAAUGAGGAACUGGGGCAGACAAAACCACGAUCUGAGACACAAGUGGUGGGUGCCUGGGUGGCUCAGUUGGUUGAGACACAAGUGGUGAAUGAGGGAGGAGCUAAACCUGAACUUGAAAGUCAAGUCACAGAAAGAUCUGAGUCAAAUGAAAAUGAUCUCUCAUAAGGAAAAAAAAUUCAUUUGGUGUUGCAGGUGGGUUUCUCAGAUGGCGUUGGUAAGAUAUUGCUAUGAUUCCAUAUAAAAUUGUGACUGAAUAAAUAUAUUGUUUUUGACCUUUGUGUGCUGCAUAAUGCUGAACUCAUAAUAGUGAACCGUUAUUGAGCAGCCCUGUUAACAGUUCUGUUGGAGAUCUUUUCAGCCCCCUAUGCCAGGGUGCAGUUAGGCCUACAUGCAUUUGGUUGAGGUAGGAGUAGUAUGGAUAAUGAUGAACACUUUCGUGGAGGGGAGGGUGGAAGGAAGAUAGUGUUGGCCUCUCCCUCCUGAUUACCUUUGCCAGAUGCCCCUUCUGUGUUGCCAUCUGACUUACGGGAGCAAACAAACUCUGUAAAAGAGAAAGUCAUAGGGAAAUUUUCAUUCUAAGGAAGGAAUUUUUAUGUGUUGCAACUCAGCUGUCCCUUCCCACUUUGUUGUAAACAUUGCAAAAACAUGGGUCUUAAAGGUUUAGAAGUGAAUUGUUUUUGUGAAGUUUUUCUAUUUUUUUGUGAUUCUGUUACUUAGUUGUUAUGCCAGUUUUUACAUUUUAUUAACAUUUGUUACAAAUCUGUUUUAUUAACAUUUGUUACAAAUCUGAUGGUCCAGUGCUGCAAUUUUUGAAGGCAUGGUGUGAGAUAGAAGAGGACCAUUCUAGGCAUAGAACUAGACAUUUCUGAUAAGGUUAGUGAUGAAGAAUGAGUGUUCUGAGUUUCUUCAGUAUGCCAGUGCAACAAGAGACACAAAUUCUGUCUUUUAGUGCUCAUAAUCCCAUGCCGUGCGGGUUCCUGUAAUUGGAAGUUUUUUCAAGGUUUCCUCCAGGGUAAAACCACUGAAAAGCCUGGAAGAGACGGACACCAAAGAGGGCUGCAUACUAAAUCCAGACUGAGAAUAAAUAUUAAGAGGCUAUGAAAUUCACUUUUGGAGAAGGGUUUAUAAAGUUUUAAGAAGUUCAGUAGUAUUAUAGCUGUUGAGUCUUCCUGCACCAAUGUCUGUGUUUAUUUAAUGGCUAGGAGUAUGGGAAUGUAUUUUUAUCCUCCUAAAAUAGGGGUCCAGACUAGAAGGAUUUGGGAGGGGCAAAAGCUAUAUAGACUGGACCUUGGAAAUGCAGAUGAGGCUGGAACUUCCUUCGAGAUCUUUAGAUACUUAAGAGUGUUAACUCUUAAUAGGUUGAGGUCAUCUUGAAAGGAUGAUAAAAGCAUUUUAAGUUUCAUUUGCAUGAACACGGAGGAUAGGAUUUUGGUGCCUUCAUUGGACUUGCUCCAAGACAAAGAUACUUUUAUUUUGAUAGUGCAAGACUCUGGGACUUUGGGGAUAAAAUUGGCCAUAUGCUUUUAGAACAUCUAACUCUGCAGAGCUGGAUUCCUUUUACUUUGUGAAAGCUGCUACUCUACAGAAAGGUUUUGAUUUAGUAGUUUGUUUUUAAUCUUCUUGUAUUUAUUUGUAUUUGGUAAGACCUGAGUGCGACAAAAGCUAUUCUUCCCCAGCUAUAAAGCACUGUGUUCUGUUGGAAUCUGAAUUCUUUCAUUGAUAGGUUUUCAGGUUUCCCAACUUUAUUGUCACUGACAUUUGAGCAUGUUGUUUUGUAAAUGAUGAGAUUCCAGGGUGGGAAUUGAGUGGUUUCUUUUUUUUCUUUUUCUUUUUUUUUUUUCUUAAGUUAUGUCAGUUAAAAAAAAACUCCAGUAUUGUGGUUUAGUAAACUUGUUUUGCUCUGUGGAGGAAAGAAUGUUAAGCUUAGUAUCUUGAAACCUGUUUAAGGUCACACAUGAUUUCUAAAUGUUGUUUUUACUUGUAUUUUGCUUUUGGUAUGGCCAGAUAUUUAGCUUGUUUUUAUAGUUCCUGAUAUUUUCAGAAAAAUCAAAAUAAAUUUGUUCCCUAAAAAAAAAAAAAAGAAA